GUAAACGGCGGCCGUAACUAUAACGGUCCUAAGGUAGCGAAAUUCCUUGUCGGGUAAGUUCCGACCUGCACGAAUGGCGUAACGAUGGCCACACUGUCUCCUCCUGAGACUCAGCGAAGUUGAAGUGUUUGUGAUGAUGCAAUCUACCCGCGGCUAGACGGAAAGACCCCAUGAACCUUUACUGUAGCUUUGCAUUGAUCUGUGAACCGGCCUGUGUAGGAUAGGUGGGAGGCUUUGAAGCGUGGUCGCUAGAUCACGUGGAGCCAACCUUGAAAUACCACCCUGGUUUGUUUGCGGUUCUAACCUUGGUCCGUUAUCCGGAUCGGGGACAGUGCAUGGUGGGCAGUUUGACUGGGGCGGUCUCCUCCCAAAGUGUAACGGAGGAGUUCGAAGGUACGCUAGGUACGGUCGGAAAUCGUGCUGAUAGUGCAAUGGCAUAAGCGUGCUUGACUGUGAGACUGACAAGUCGAACAGGUGCGAAAGCAGGACAUAGUGAUCCGGUGGUUCUGAAUGGAAGGGCCAUCGCUCAACGGAUAAAAGGUACUCUGGGGAUAACAGGCUGAUACCGCCCAAGAGUUCAUAUCGACGGCGGUGUUUGGCACCUCGAUGUCGGCUCAUCUCAUCCUGGGGCUGUAGCCGGUCCCAAGGGUAUGGCUGUUCGCCAUUUAAAGAGGUACGUGAGCUGGGUUUAAAACGUCGUGAGACAGUUUGGUCCCUAUCUGCCGUGGGCGUUGGAUACUUGACGGAGCCUGCUCCUAGUACGAGAGGACCGGAGUGGACGUACCUCUGGUGUACCGGUUGUCAUGCCAAUGGCAUUGCCGGGUAGCUAAGUACGGAAGAGAUAACCGCUGAAGGCAUCUAAGCGGGAAACUCGUCUGAAGAUUAGGUAUCCCGGGGACUUGAUCCCCCUAAAGAGUCGUUCGAGACCAGGACGUUGAUAGGUCGGGUGUGGAAGCGCAGUAAUGCGUUAAGCUAACCGAUACUAAUUGCUCGUGAGGCUUGAUCCUAUAACACUGAUGGUU
RNAcentral lists this ribosomal RNA (1022 nucleotides) under Delftia sp. UME58. Its description in RNAcentral is "partial 23S ribosomal RNA". It matches the Rfam family "Bacterial large subunit ribosomal RNA", at positions 1923 to 2925 of the family's 2925-position model. Lineage: Bacteria; Pseudomonadati; Pseudomonadota; Betaproteobacteria; Burkholderiales; Comamonadaceae. The record is from RNAcentral.